AUUGAACGCUGGCGGCAGGCUUAACACAUGCAAGUCGAACGAUGACUCUCUAGCUUGCUAGAGAAGAUUAGUGGCGGACGGGUGAGUAACAUUUAGGAAUCUGCCUAGUAGUGGGGGAUAGCUCGGGGAAACUCGAAUUAAUACCGCAUACGACCUACGGGUGAAAGGGGGCGCAAGCUCUUGCUAUUAGAUGAGCCUAAAUCAGAUUAGCUAGUUGGUGGGGUAAAGGCCUACCAAGGCGACGAUCUGUAACUGGUCUGAGAGGAUGAUCAGUCACACCGGAACUGAGACACGGUCCGGACUCCUACGGGAGGCAGCAGUGGGGAAUAUUGGACAAUGGGGGCAACCCUGAUCCAGCCAUGCCGCGUGUGUGAAGAAGGCCUUUUGGUUGUAAAGCACUUUAAGCAGGGAGGAGAGGCUAAUGGUUAAUACCCAUUAGAUUAGACGUUACCUGCAGAAUAAGCACCGGCUAACUCUGUGCCAGCAGCCGCGGUAAUACAGAGGGUGCGAGCGUUAAUCGGAAUUACUGGGCGUAAAGCGAGUGUAGGUGGCUCAUUAAGUCACAUGUGAAAUCCCCGGGCUUAACCUGGGAACUGCAUGUGAUACUGGUGGUGCUAGAAUAUGUGAGAGGGAAGUAGAAUUCCAGGUGUAGCGGUGAAAUGCGUAGAGAUCUGGAGGAAUACCGAUGGCGAAGGCAGCUUCCUGGCAUAAUAUUGACACUGAGAUUCGAAAGCGUGGGUAGCAAACAGGAUUAGAUACCCUGGUAGUCCACGCCGUAAACGAUGUCUACUAGCCGUUGGGGUCCUUGAGACUUUAGUGGCGCAGUUAACGCGAUAAGUAGACCGCCUGGGGAGUACGGCCGCAAGGUUAAAACUCAAAUGAAUUGACGGGGGCCCGCACAAGCGGUGGAGCAUGUGGUUUAAUUCGAUGCAACGCGAAGAACCUUACCUGGUCUUGACAUAGUGAGAAUCUCUCAGAGAUGCGGGAGUGCCUUCGGGAAUUCACAUACAGGUGCUGCAUGGCUGUCGUCAGCUCGUGUCGUGAGAUGUUGGGUUAAGUCCCGCAACGAGCGCAACCCUUUUCCUUAUUUGCCAGCGGGUUAAGCCGGGAACUUUAAGGAUACUGCCAGUGACAAACUGGAGGAAGGCGGGGACGACGUCAAGUCAUCAUGGCCCUUACGACCAGGGCUACACACGUGCUACAAUGGUAGGUACAGAGGGUUGCUACACAGCGAUGUGAUGCUAAUCUCAAAAAGCCUAUCGUAGUCCGGAUUGGAGUCUGCAACUCGACUCCAUGAAGUCGGAAUCGCUAGUAAUCGCAGAUCAGAAUGCUGCGGUGAAUACGUUCCCGGGCCU
Molecule: ribosomal RNA, 1355 nt
Filed under: uncultured bacterium
Lineage: Bacteria
Description: bacterial SSU rRNA
Rfam family: Bacterial small subunit ribosomal RNA
Source: RNAcentral